UACGUAGGGGGCAAGCGUUGUUCGGAAUUACUGGGCGUAAAGGGCUCGUAGGCGGCCAACUAAGUCGGAUGUGAAAUCCCCAGGCUUAACCUGGGAACUGCAUCCGAUACUGGAUGGCUUGAAUCCGGGAGAGGGAUGCAGAAUUCCAGGUGUAGCGGUGAAAUGCGCAGAUAUCAGGAAGAACACCCGUGGCGAAGGCGGCUCUCUGGGACGGUACUGACGCUGAGACGCGAAAGCGUGGGGAGCAAACAGG
RNAcentral lists this ribosomal RNA (253 nucleotides) under uncultured bacterium. RNAcentral describes it as "partial 16S ribosomal RNA". It matches the Rfam family "Bacterial small subunit ribosomal RNA", at positions 524 to 776 of the family's 1533-position model. The record is from RNAcentral.